CCUACGGGUGGCAGCAGUGAGGGAUAUUGGUCAAUGGACGGAAGUCUGAACCAGCCAUGCCGCGUGCAGGAAGACGGCUCUAUGAGUUGUAAACUGCUUUUGUACAAGGGUAAACCUGAAUACGUGUAUUCAGCUGACAGUACUGUACGAAUAAGGAUCGGCUAACUCCGUGCCAGUAGCCGCGGUAAUACGGAGGAUCCAAGCGUUAUCCGGAUUUAUUGGGUUUAAAGGGUGCGUAGGCGGAUUGAUAAGUGAGAGGUGAAAUGUCCGAGCUUAACUCGGGAACUGCCUCUAGUACUAUUGAGCUAGAGAGUAGAUGCGGUAGGCGGAAUGUAUGGUGUAGCGGUGAAAUGCUUAGAGAUCAUACAGAACACCAAUUGCGAAGGCAGCUUACCAAUCUAUAUCUGACGUUGAGGCACGAAAGCGUGGGGAGCAAACAGGAUUAGAUACCCUAGUAGUC
Molecule: ribosomal RNA, 460 nt
Filed under: uncultured bacterium
Lineage: Bacteria
Description: partial 16S ribosomal RNA
Rfam family: Bacterial small subunit ribosomal RNA
Source: RNAcentral